GGACUAUCAUGUCGGUCGUGCCUCGGUACGUACUGGUAUUGUUGGUUUCUCCCUUCUGACGAACCAUGAUGUCAUUUAUUUGGUGUUGUUGGGGAAUCAGGACUGUUACUUUGAAAAAAUUAGAGUGUUUAAAGCAGGCAUUAGCUUGAAUACAUUAGCAUGGAAUAACGGAAUAGGACGUUUGAUUCUAUUUUGUUGGUUUCUAGGAUCGACGUA
This 216-nucleotide ribosomal RNA is filed under the name Campeiostachys nutans. RNAcentral's name for it is "Elymus nutans partial small subunit ribosomal RNA". The stretch from base 31 to 216 matches the Rfam family "Eukaryotic small subunit ribosomal RNA", at positions 677 to 864 of the family's 1831-position model. The record is from RNAcentral. Lineage: Eukaryota; Viridiplantae; Streptophyta; Magnoliopsida; Poales; Poaceae.